Molecule: non-coding RNA, 3647 nt
Organism: Camellia sinensis
Lineage: Eukaryota; Viridiplantae; Streptophyta; Magnoliopsida; Ericales; Theaceae
Source: RefSeq, a predicted model, not a curated record
UGAGGUGGUAGGUUUAUUGAUAAAUUUUAACAACUAGUUUGUUACUAAAUAAUUUGAGCUUAAGCAUUUUAGAUUAUAUGGGUAAACUCACUUUCUUUAGGUUACUUGAACCAGCUGAGUUUUGAAAAUCAAUGUAUACUCAAAACCUGUCUCCAAUUUGUUAGCAAUUAGCUUGUCCCAGAGCAUUCCCUCUCAGGUUUUGACUGUUUUGGUAUUUGUUGUGCAGUUAAGCAAAGAUUGUAUGCAAUGUUUUGGGAAGUCGUUGUAAAAAUUGGUAAGGAUUAGGUGAAUAUUGUUUUACAUUUAUGCUAGACUAGAAUUCAUUGUUACUGCAUAUCCUUAAAAAAUUAUUUUAAUUACAGUGCCUUAGGUGAAGCAUAUCAGAGAAAAGAAAUUGGUACACGAUCAAGCACUUGAGCUUGUCCAAUUCAUUUGCAUAUGGAAGUUGCAAAAUCAAAAUUUUCACAAGCUGCUCAGAUAUUUACACCAGCGUUACUCAAAGCAACAUCUGAUUCAUGAAAUUGUUGAAAAAAUUUUGAGUUAUGAGAUUUCAAAUUCUUUGAGUGUUCACACUGGUUUGUUAAUUGUCCAGAAAUUAAGAAGUUUGUUUGUUAUUUUAAACUUGAAUUUAUUGUGAUAAAGAAAGAUCUAUCUUGUGUGUGGGCAAUGUCCCUUGCUUUGUUCAGCAAUUUUUAAGGAUAAAUAAUCUUUAAUAUACUAUUGUUCUGCCUCACACUAUCCUUGUGAGAGGCUAAAAGACAAAAAAAAAAAAAAGGGAGUGUGAAUAUCAUUUUACUACACAAUAUGGAACUCUUGUUGUGAACUGAAUUGCCUAAAUCAUUUUUCUUGUCUUCUGCUUCUUUAUGCAAUUGACAUGAUAAGCUGAUGACAAAUCAAUUAUUGUACAAUCUGUAGCGUAAAUAAGGACCCAACAUUCGGAUUCUUCUGAUGUACAGUGAGGAGCUGUCACAUAUGCUUUAUGCUGCAGUAGACAUGGUAUUAGUUCCUUCCAUAUAUGAGCCAUGUGGACUUGCUCAAAUGAUUGGAAUGCGUUAUGGAGCGGUAUAUACUAUCUUGUAAUCUCACUCCUCUUCUCUUGUCUGGGUAAUGAGUGAUGACUAUUUGACUUCACUGCUCAGUUAUCACUGCAUUUUAUUUAUUUAUUUAUUUUUGUGUGUGUUUUUAUUCUUGUACAAUUUUGAAGAAAUGAUUUUGACCUUCAUGGUUCAAAAAGUCAUAGAAAAAGAAAAUUUGACAUUCUGGAGCUGCAAGUAUAUGAUUGGUUUAUCCUACCAAGUAAUAUCAUAAGUUUCCAGUUAUGCAUCCAUGUAAUACCUAUUUGUCUACUUUUUGCCAAAGCCAUUAUAGGUGCAGUGUUAAUACUCCUGACAUGGCAUCUAAAAGGAAGGUUGGAUUAAAGGAUUCAAUUUUCAUCAUAUGGCCACUCAUCAAAAAUAAAAAUCACAUGGCAAAAGAAUUGUUCAUCUGUAACAAUCAAAAAGACUAGCUGCAUCAUUUGUUUAUUUAUUUUUUUGUUUAGAGAAUAUUCAUAUGUCCAACAGACUGAAGACCAUUGAUUAACAGAAACACACUGAGACAAGGCAUACUUCUGAAUUCUGAUUAUUUCAGGUCCCAAUAGUUAGGAAGACUGGUGGUCUUGCUGAUACAGUGUUUGAUAUGGAUGAUGAGUUACAUGCUGAGAUGGCUGAUGGGCAACUUGUUUUUCUUGUUCUGAAAUUUUUAGUUACUACUGAAACUAAACAAAACUAAUCCACGCUACUUAUGUUGGCUGCAACCAUUUUAUUUUGUCACACCUAGAACUUAGUAACAAAUAAAUCAUAUUUGACCAUGUUGUUUCUCAUAGUUACAGUUCAUUUUUCUUUUACGCCUUUCCCAUGGCAACUUAUUAUGUGUGUAUUAAAUAUUAUUAUAUUAUGUACUCCGAAAAAAAGUGUAGUUUGUGGAGUGGGCUUUGAAGAUGAUCAAUCUGAGGAUUUUGCUAAGAUUUUUAAUUGCUUGACUAAGGAAUUGCCAUUUUCAUUCUUAGGUCUUCCUUUAGGGGCCAAUCCGAGAAGGUAGAGCACAUGGAACCCAGUAGUAGAGAAGGUGAAGAAAAAACUGUCUUCUUGGAAGAGGAAAUUACUUUCUUAUGCUGGGAGGUUGACUUUGAUCAAAUCAGUUCUCGCUAACUUGCCAACCUAUUUUCUCUCUCUUUUUAGAAUGCCUAAGCGUGUUGCUAAAUCCUUAGUCAAAUUGCAGUCAUCUUUUCUAUGGGGAGGGAAUGUUAAUAAAAGGAAAGUGCACUUGGUCAAAUGGAAGGAGGUAACCAGAAGCAAAAGUCAAGGAGGUUUGGGUGUGAGAGAUUUAGGUGAGGUGAAUGAAUGCUUGUUAUUAAACUGGUGAUGGAGGUAUGGCAAUGAAGAUACAUCUCUGUGGAAAGCUGUGGUCUGCUCAAGGUAUGGUAGGACUGGUGGAGGUUGGGCUCCAGCUAUGAGUCUUUCAGGUGGGGUAUCCACAGUACGGAUGGAUAUUGUGCAGCUCCUUUCAGUUAACCAACACUUGGGUGAGUUCUAUGGUGACCAUUUUAGAAUUAAAGUUGGAAGUGGGGGGAGAAUCAUGUUCUGGCAUGAUGCAUGGCUUAACAACAGAGGCUUGCAGGUUCAAUUCCCCAGACUAUACAUUUUAUCCACUGAGAAAGAUGAGACCUUACAACAACUCAGUCCCAAGAGAAGUAAUUCAGGGGUGUGGCAGCUUAGCUUUAGAAGACAAUUAUUAGUUUGGGAAGCGGAGGAGCUGCAGAGACUGAUGGGUUUGCUGGUAACAUCUCCAAUGGUUAGUUUUGAUUUUGUUGAUUCUUGUUCUUGGCUAGCUAACAGUUCAGGGCAGUUUUCAGUCUCUUUUGUGAGAAGAUGGUGGGAUGCAGCAAAAGGACCUGGCCAGGUUGUACCUAAAGGGGUAUGGGUUUGUUUAGCUCCGCCAAAAGUGCAGUUUUUUUGCUGGUUGCCUUGGAGAGGCAAAGUCAAGUCUUCAACCUUCUUUCAAAGGAUUGGGGUGUUAUAUGCAUCAGCAAAUAUCUUGUGUCUUUUGCCAAGCUGAGGUGUAAUCCUUGGAUCAUGUGCUCUUAUUUUGCCCACUGGUUUGGUAGCGUUGGUCUCAAAUGGUAAGGUGGAGGGAUCAGGUUUGGGCAAUCCUUGGAUCAGUCGAGGGCCUUCUGCAUUGGUGGUCUGCUGGUAAGAGUAAGCACUGGGUUUCCAGAUUAUGGGAGAUAGUUCCCUCAGUUGUGUUAUGGUCUGUUUGGAGAUUGCGAAAUGAAUGCCUUUUCAAAGGGGCACAACCUAAUUGUGAUGACUUUUGUGAAAAAAUGAAGGUGCAGAUUGCCUUGUGGGUAAAAUGGAGCUUGGAGGUUGAUUAUACAGUUAAUGAUAUUGUCUUUAAUCUCAAUCAGAUUAGGAUGUUUGCUACAGGCUCCCUGUGAUUCUGGUUUCUCUACUACUGAUCUGUUUCACUGCUACUCCUCUGCAACUCCUUUGUUUCUCUUUUGGUGUUGUUACUGAUCUAGCUCUGGUUUCUCUGCUACUGAUCUAUCUCUGCUAAUGUGUUGCUUCUGGUUUUUUGAGUUAAUAGCUGAGGUUUAUUUGUUGUUUCAA